This 253-nucleotide ribosomal RNA is filed under the name uncultured bacterium. RNAcentral describes it as "partial 16S ribosomal RNA". It matches the Rfam family "Bacterial small subunit ribosomal RNA", at positions 524 to 776 of the family's 1533-position model. The record is from RNAcentral.
UACGUAGGGUGCGAGCGUUAAUCGGAAUUACUGGGCGUAAAGCGUGCGCAGGCGGUUUUGUAAGCCAGAUGUGAAAUCCCCAGGCUUAACCUGGGAAUGGCAUUUGGGACUGCAAGGCUGGAGUGUGGCAGAGGAGACUGGAAUUCCUGGUGUAGCAGUGAAAUGCGUAGAUAUCAGGAGGAAUACCGAUGGCGAAGGCAGGUCUCUGGGCUGACACUGACGCUCAUGCACGAAAGCGUGGGGAGCAAACAGG